GGCCCCGUAGAUUAGUAGUUAGAUCACUGGCCUUUCAAGCCGGGGAAGACGGAGCAUAACCGUCCGGGGCUACCA
This 75-nucleotide transfer RNA is filed under the name Pseudomonadota bacterium. RNAcentral describes it as "tRNA-Glu". It matches the Rfam family "tRNA". Rfam says of the family: Transfer RNA (tRNA) molecules are approximately 80 nucleotides in length. Their secondary structure includes four short double-helical elements and three loops (D, anti-codon, and T loops). Further hydrogen bonds mediate the characteristic L-shaped molecular structure. tRNAs have two regions of fundamental functional importance: the anti-codon, which is responsible for specific mRNA codon recognition, and the 3' end, to which the tRNAs corresponding amino acid is attached (by aminoacyl-tRNA synthetases). tRNAs cope with the degeneracy of the genetic code in two manners: having more than one tRNA (with a specific anti-codon) for a particular amino acid; and 'wobble' base-pairing, i.e. permitting non-standard base-pairing at the 3rd anti-codon position. The record is from RNAcentral. Lineage: Bacteria; Pseudomonadati; Pseudomonadota.